AGGAAUAUUGGUCAAUGGGCGCGAGCCUGAACCAGCCAAGUAGCGUGAAGGAUGAAGGUCCUACGGAUUGUAAACUUCUUUUAUAAGGGAAUAAAGUCACCCACGUGUGGGUGUUUGUAUGUACCUUAUGAAUAAGCAUCGGCUAACUCCGCGCCAGCAGCCGCGGUAAUACGGAGGAUGCGAGCGUUAUCCGGAUUUAUUGGGUUUAAAGGGAGCGUAGACGGGCCGUUAAGUCAGCUGUGAAAGUUUGAGGCUCAACCUUAAAAUUGCAGUUGAUACUGGCGUCCUUGAGUACGGUUGAGGCAGGCGGAAUUCGUGGUGUAGCGGUGAAAUGCUUAGAUAUCACGAAGAACCCCGAUUGCGAAGGCAGCCUGCUAAACCGCCACUGACGUUGAGGCUCGAAAGUGUGGGUAUCAAACAGGAUUAGAUACCCUGGUAGUCCACACGGUAAACGAUGGAUACUCGCUGUUGGCGAUAGACUGUCAGCGGCUUAGCGAAAGCGUUAAGUAUCCCACCUGGGGAGUACGCCGGCAACGGUGAAACUCAAAGGAAUUGACGGGGGCCCGCACAAGCGGAGGAACAUGUGGUUUAAUUCGAUGAUACGCGAGGAACCUUACCCGGGCUUGAAUUGCAGACGAAUUGCUUGGAAACAGGCAAGCCGCAAGGCGUCUGUGAAGGUGCUGCAUGGUUGUCGUCAGCUCGUGCCGUGAGGUGUCGGCUUAAGUGCCAUAACGAGCGCAACCCUCGUGUCCAGUUACUAGCAGGUUAUGCUGAGGACUCUGGACAGACUGCCAUCGUAAGAUGUGAGGAAGGUGGGGAUGACGUCAAAUCAGCACGGCCCUUACGUCCGGGGCUACACACGUGUUACAAUGGGGGGUACAGCAGGCAGCUACCGGGCGACCGGAUGCCAAUCCCGAAAGCCUCUCUCAGUUCGGACUGGAGUCUGCAACCCGACUCCACGAAGCUGGAUUCGCUAGUAAUCGCGCAUCAGCCACGGCGCGGUGAAUACGUUCCCG
RNAcentral lists this ribosomal RNA (1016 nucleotides) under uncultured bacterium. Its description in RNAcentral is "bacterial SSU rRNA". It matches the Rfam family "Bacterial small subunit ribosomal RNA", at positions 357 to 1376 of the family's 1533-position model. The record is from RNAcentral.